CUUGCUGGCAGCAGGCUCUGACCAUGUCUGGGUUUUUGCCUGUGUUGGAUUUUCAAGCCUUGUUUCCCCAGCUUCCUGUAGAUGUGUGUCCAAAGUGUGUGUCCCCACAGGCUUCUCUGAGCAGCGGUGUCCUGCUCAAGGGCCAAGAGCUGAGGGCAGGUGGUCCCCCCGCCCAGCUCGGCAGCCUGUGCAGCCUGGGGCGGCUGCUUAUCAAUUGCCUCUUCUCUGACCUGCUGCACCCGAGGGAAUGUUUUUCUUCUGAGUUCUGUUUCUGAGAAAAGUUUGUGUUCCUCAGACAGCUGGGGAAUCCUUCGGAAUCCCCUUGGUGCCCAAUCAACUCACAGCUGAUGAGCAUUCCGGUCCAGAAUAACGGGAGAAGUUUUUGGAGCUGCGCGCUAAGGGGCUGCCUGCCCUGGGGUGUCAUUAAAAAGAAGGCAGAUUAUGCUGCUCUGAUAAUUCUUAUAAUGUCUUUGGGAAGAAGACUCAUGCAGUUCUGUUGGGCGUGUAUGCGGGAGUGAACCUGCCGGGUCCCAGAUCAGUGUGUGUCUGCCUUCACAGAGCACCAUCUUCCCCGAAGAGAAAUAAACCUGCUGUAUGUGACGACAUGGAUGAGCCUGGACGACAUCAUGCUUAGUGAAGUCAGCUGGGCACAGAGGGCAGAGCCUGCAUGGUUCCAUUCACUCGAGGCAUCAGCAGCAGCCUGACUCACAGCAGCAGAGCAGAAUGGAGGUGCCAGGAGCUCGGGAGGGAAGAGGCGUCUGUGUCAACGGCUGUAAAGUCUCUGUCGCGCGAGUGAGUGAGUGCUGGAGCCCCGCUGGACACGAGGUGCUCGUAGUCAGCAACACUGUAUUUGCACCUGCAUUUCCAACAAGGGGAGAACGAGGUGGUGAUGUGGCCUGGGCUGGCCCCCGCUCCCAAACUGCACGGUUCCUGAGAGAGGGCAGGAACCUCCCCCCUGCCCCGCCCACCCAGAGCCAGGUCCUUGUCCAGCUAAUGGGCAAGUGUAUCUG
This is a non-coding RNA of Odocoileus virginianus texanus, 1010 nucleotides long. The record is from RefSeq and is a predicted model, not a curated record. Lineage: Eukaryota; Metazoa; Chordata; Mammalia; Artiodactyla; Cervidae.